GUAAAAAUAGCUCAGUUGGUUAGAGCAGGAUGCUGAUAAUGCCACGGUUUCAGGUUCGAUCCCUGUAUGGGGCAGUUGCA
Molecule: non-coding RNA, 80 nt
Organism: Podarcis lilfordi (Lilford's wall lizard)
Lineage: Eukaryota; Metazoa; Chordata; Lepidosauria; Squamata; Lacertidae
Source: the annotation of a GenBank genome assembly